UACAGCCUACGGGGCGCAGCAGUGGGGGAUAUUGCACAAUGGGGGGAACCCUGAUGCAGCGACGCCGCGUGGGUGAAGAAGCGCCUCGGCGCGUAAAGCCCUGUCAGCAGGGAAGAAAAUGACGGUACCUGAAGAAGAAGCCCCGGCUAACUACGUGCCAGCAGCCGCGGUAAUACGUAGGGGGCAAGCGUUAUCCCGAUUUACUGGGUGUAAAGGGGGCGCAGACGGCGAUGCAAGCCAGGAGUGAAAGGUACCGGCUCAACCGGUACAGGCUCUGGAAACUGGCGGGCUAGAGAGCAGGGGAG
Molecule: ribosomal RNA, 305 nt
Filed under: uncultured bacterium
Lineage: Bacteria
Description: bacterial SSU rRNA
Rfam family: Bacterial small subunit ribosomal RNA
Source: RNAcentral